RNAcentral lists this ribosomal RNA (879 nucleotides) under Vibrio sp. R5M6. RNAcentral describes it as "bacterial SSU rRNA". It matches the Rfam family "Bacterial small subunit ribosomal RNA", at positions 76 to 942 of the family's 1533-position model. The record is from RNAcentral. Lineage: Bacteria; Pseudomonadati; Pseudomonadota; Gammaproteobacteria; Vibrionales; Vibrionaceae.
ACCUUCGGGGAACGAUACGGCGUCGAGCGGCGGACGGGUGAGUAAUGCCUAGGAAAUUGCCCUGAUGUGGGGGAUAACCAUUGGAAACGAUGGCUAAUACCGCAUAAUACCUACGGGUCAAAGAGGGGGACCUUCGGGCCUCUCGCGUCAGGAUAUGCCUAGGUGGGAUUAGCUAGUUGGUGAGGUAAUGGCUCACCAAGGCGACGAUCCCUAGCUGGUCUGAGAGGAUGAUCAGCCACACUGGAACUGAGACACGGUCCAGACUCCUACGGGAGGCAGCAGUGGGGAAUAUUGCACAAUGGGCGCAAGCCUGAUGCAGCCAUGCCGCGUGUGUGAAGAAGGCCUUCGGGUUGUAAAGCACUUUCAGUCGUGAGGAAGGUAGUGUAGUUAAUAGCUGCAUUAUUUGACGUUAGCGACAGAAGAAGCACCGGCUAACUCCGUGCCAGCAGCCGCGGUAAUACGGAGGGUGCGAGCGUUAAUCGGAAUUACUGGGCGUAAAGCGCAUGCAGGUGGUUUGUUAAGUCAGAUGUGAAAGCCCGGGGCUCAACCUCGGAAUAGCAUUUGAAACUGGCAGACUAGAGUACUGUAGAGGGGGGUAGAAUUUCAGGUGUAGCGGUGAAAUGCGUAGAGAUCUGAAGGAAUACCGGUGGCGAAGGCGGCCCCCUGGACAGAUACUGACACUCAGAUGCGAAAGCGUGGGGAGCAAACAGGAUUAGAUACCCUGGUAGUCCACGCCGUAAACGAUGUCUACUUGGAGGUUGUGGCCUUGAGCCGUGGCUUUCGGAGCUAACGCGUUAAGUAGACCGCCUGGGGAGUACGGUCGCAAAGAUUAAAACUCAAAUGAAUUGACGGGGGGCCCGCACAAGCGGUGGAGCAUGU